RNAcentral lists this unclassified non-coding RNA (1980 nucleotides) under uncultured fungus. RNAcentral describes it as "sequence contains 18S rRNA gene, ITS1, 5.8S rRNA gene, ITS2, 28S rRNA gene". The stretch from base 826 to 1980 matches the Rfam family "Eukaryotic large subunit ribosomal RNA", at positions 1 to 961 of the family's 3401-position model. The record is from RNAcentral. Lineage: Eukaryota; Fungi.
GGAGGGAUCAUUAACACGAAAUUCAUUUCUCGAACCGUUUCCCUUCAAAAGGGGGAUUCGGGGAGAGGAAAAAAAAAACUUGGCCAAUUUCGAGAGAGGAAUUUCCUUCCAAACUCGAAUUGGUCAUUUCCCCACAAAUGUGAAGUCAGUUUAAGUACCCACCCCUCAUGAGGUUCUCCUCAUGUAUUUCGGGGUGAGAUACUGUACGCAGGAAAUUUUUCUGGAAAAUUGUGCACCUCGGUCGCCCUCGUGCGACCUUAAAAGGGGGUCCAAGAUUCGAUUUUUGGACUCGAGAUUUUUUUUAAACCAUCUCCCCACAACUGUUAACAACGGAUAUCUUGGCUACCACUACGAUGACGAGCGCAGCGAAAGGCGAUACCUAGUGUGAAUUGCAGAACUAAGUGAGUCAUCAAGAUCUUGAACGCAAACUGCGCCUCUGGGCUAGCCCGGAGGCAUGCCUGUUUGAGUAUUGUUCAAUAACAACAAUCACCAAAAAAGGGGGUGUGUGUGUUUUUUUUCACACUCACCCUCUCUUUUGUUGGAUAUGGGAAUAAUCAUUUGUGAAUCUCUUCAACCAGAUUCUCUCCCAAAAGUAAAGUCGAGUUAAACAUUAAAAACGUGUGUGAUCCGGUUUGGAGAUAAAAAAAGACCACCUCUGUCGGGGUGGAAACCAUGCUGGUAGUGUCAAUUUAAGGUCCAAUUUUGGCCUCUCUCUCACUAUCAGUCCACUCAGGCAAGGAGGUCCCUCCAAAAAAAAAAAAAAAGAGGACCACAUCUCUUGUAAACAAUCUCUGACGGAGAAAAUAUAUACUCAAAUAAAAAUCUCGAUCUCAAAUCAGGCAUGAUCACCCGCCGAAUUUAAGCAUAUAACUAAGCGGAGGAGAAGAAACUAACGAGGAUUCCCCCAGUAACUGCGAGUGAAGAGGGAAGAGCUCAAGCCUAAAAUCUGGGUGGAUUGAAUUCCAUCCCGAAUUGUAAUCUAAGGGAGUGCACUCACGGGAGGGGGCGACUGGCCCAAAGUCCCCUGGAACGGGGCACCGCAGAGGGUGAUAGUCCCGUGCGGGUCACCUACCGUCCCCUCCGACACCUGUGUGCAUCCCCCAGAGUCGGGUUGUUUGAGAGUACAGCCUGAAAUGGGUGGUAAAUUCCAUCUAAAGCUAAAUACCAGGUGGUAGACCGAUAGCGAACAAGUACCGUGAGGGAAAGAUGCAAAGGACUCUGAAAAGAGAGUUAAAAGUACUUGAAAUUGUUGACAGGGAAACGAUGGUGGCCAGUGGAAUUGGGGGCACGUUGUUGAUCAGCUCCGACGUGCGUACUGGUGGUUGGGUGAGUUCUCGGAGUGGGGUUUUCCCCACCCACUCGCCCCCGCCUGGUGCGCACGGAGGGGUGCACUCUGCACGCGCUCCCGUGGUCGUGUGUCCGGAUGAGGUGCCGGCAGAAUGGCGCGGUGCAGGGGGACCGACUCGUCGGUUGUCUGGCACCGCGCAGAUGUCCGGCUACUCGGACACCUACAGUGGGGAGGCUCGAGCGUGGCGUUGCCCGGCCAUGCCGGUUGGGGUGGGUGGUGGACUGCAUGCAGUGCGCCGUCUCCCCGGCAGGUACCGGUCGGGCCGACCUACCUUCCCCCAUCGACCACGAAAUGGCCACCACCGACCCGUCUUGAAACACGGACCAAGGAGUCUAACGUACGUGCGAGUAUGAGGGUGAUCUGGAAACCCGAGUGCGGAGCGAAAGCGAUACACGGGUGGGAAGUGGAAAAGGUCUCGUCCUGGCCACCGCACCAUCGACCUAUGUGGAUUUGUCCACACUAGAGUGAGAGCACGUCCGUUAGGACCCGAAAGGUUGCGAACUAUGCCUGUAUAGGGUGAAGCCAGAAGAAAUUCUGGUGGAGGCUCGAAGCGAUACUGACGUGCAAAUCGUUCGUCAAAUAUGGGUAUAGCGGCGAAAGACUAAUCGAGCAACUUAGUAGCUGGUUCCCUC